CAAGUCGAACGGUAACAUUUCUAGCUUGCUAGAAGAUGACGAGUGGCGGACGGGUGAGUAAUGCUUGGGAACUUGCCUUUGCGAGGGGGAUAACAGUUGGAAACGACUGCUAAUACCGCAUAAUGUCUACGGACCAAACGGGGCUUAGGCUCCGGCGCAAAGAGAGGCCCAAGUGAGAUUAGCUAGUUGGUAAGGUAAAGGCUUACCAAGGCGACGAUCUCUAGCUGUUCUGAGAGGAAGAUCAGCCACACUGGGACUGAGACACGGCCCAGACUCCUACGGGAGGCAGCAGUGGGGAAUAUUGCACAAUGGGGGAAACCCUGAUGCAGCCAUGCCGCGUGUGUGAAGAAGGCCUUCGGGUUGUAAAGCACUUUCAGUUGUGAGGAAAAGUUAGUAGUUAAUACCUGCUAGCCGUGACGUUNACAACAGAAGAAGCACCGGCUAACUCCGUGCCAGCAGCCGCGGUAAUACGGAGGGUGCGAGCGUUAAUCGGAAUUACUGGGCGUANAGCGCACGCAGGCGGUUUGUUAAGCUAGAUGUGAAAGCCCCGGGCUCAACCUGGGAUGGUCAUUUAGAACUGGCAGACU
This 587-nucleotide ribosomal RNA is filed under the name uncultured bacterium. RNAcentral describes it as "bacterial SSU rRNA". It matches the Rfam family "Bacterial small subunit ribosomal RNA", at positions 58 to 642 of the family's 1533-position model. The record is from RNAcentral.